Molecule: unclassified non-coding RNA, 3002 nt
Filed under: Hevea brasiliensis (rubber tree)
Lineage: Eukaryota; Viridiplantae; Streptophyta; Magnoliopsida; Malpighiales; Euphorbiaceae
Source: RNAcentral
UACGAUUCUUGUUUCUUCUCCACCUUCAGUAAGUUUCCCAAGAAAGACCAAGGAUAAUUUUACAGGAAGAUUAGCCUUGAGAAUUAGAGCUUAUAAUUCUUCCAAGGAUGACUCAGCAAGCAACUCUGGUGAUUCCAAGCCCCCCAACGGCUCUCUGGUACUUGCCUCAUUAUUUGUAUGCAUAUAUGUGAUUUAAUUGAUGAUUUGUUUCUCAAGGACUUUUAUGAUUUUUAGUUUAUGUAAAUGUGGUAACAGAUAUGGUGUGUGCAAUGCUGGAAACUGCGAUAGUCACUAGUCUAUGUAAUCUAUGAAAAGGGUUUGCUUUGAAAGUGGAAUCGAACUUGAUGUAAUCUAGACAUCCCAUUUCAGUUUAUUUAUUUAAUUAAUUUAUUUUUUAGAUAAUUAAACAUAAUUUAAUAAUAAUUAUGUUUUCAAAAACUAGUUUUUGUUUUCGACCUAAAUUCAAGUGAAUCAAAUAUAAAACUGUAGUAAAAAGUUUGGAUUUUUUAAUGCUAAACAAGAUGGAAUACUCAAGAACUUACAUUUAUUUCUAAAGUGAACUCAGCAGGCCCUAAGGUUAAGUAGAGAGUAAUUUUAAAGAAAUUGGGGAAUAUUUAUACUUAUUUUUAAUGUAAUUGAACAGGAUAAGGAUUCUAGGUAUUGAGAAUUACUAUAUUCAACUACAGUUUUAUGCAUACUUUGCCAUGGGUAUGUUUGAAUUUGGAUUUUCAAUCUCUUCUUUGAAAGAUGCAGUCAAAGACGAGGAGAGAAAUUCUAUUGGAGUAUGUUAAAAAUGUGCAGCCAGAAUUUAUGGAGCUAUUCGUGAAAAGGGCACCGCAGCAGGUAGUUGAUGCAAUGCGACAAACAGUGACGAAUAUGAUUGGCACACUACCUCCACAAUUUUUUGCUGUAACUGUUACCACUGUAGCUGAAAAUCUUGCACAGCUCAUGUACAGUGUUAUGAUGACUGGUUAUAUGUUUAAGAAUGCACAAUAUCGCUUGGAAUUGCAGCAGAGUUUGGAGCAAGUCGCUCUUCCUGAUAUGCAAGAUAAAAAGGUAUUUUCUUUUUCGCCAUAUACAAAUUGUUAAAUUCUUCAAAGGCCAAAUAACUUGACAAAUACAAACCUUUGUGCCGUUUCAGUUUCAUAUAAUUUGGCGUUCUUCAGAUUUCAUUGCCGAGGUGAUUAGUGUAUAUAUUACUUACUCAAUUGGUGUUGAUGGGCAGAUUGUUUGCUUUAUUCAUUUACUUGUCUAUUUUUAAUUUGCUUUUAGCUAAAGUGCUUCCGUGUGAUAUAAAAUUGUUGCAGGAGGUUAUAGGGGGUCCUUUUUUAAUUUUACCCUUUGCAGCAUAUGAUUAGAUGUUGUUACUAUUACAGGAUUUGCCAGAUUAUGCACCAGGUACACAGAAGAAUGUGUCUGGUGAGGUUAUCAGAUGGAAUAAUGUUUCUGGUCCUCAGAAAAUGGAUGCUAAAAAGUACAUUGAGUUGCUUGAGGCAGAGAUUGAGGAACUCAAUCGUCAAGUUGGUAGAAAAACUGCAAAUGGACAGAAUGAGUUGUUGGAAUAUCUCAAAUCUCUUGAGCCACAAAAUCUGAAGGUAACUAUUGAUUGCCUUUGUUGCUAAAUGCUAUUAACAGACACGUCAAUAUGCGGUUAAGACGGUUCUUAAGACCACCUUUUAUCAUUUUAAAAAGCAUCGAACUUCAAUUGUUUGAAAUAGAAUUUUCUUGACAAGUCAAAAUUUGUUGAGGGGUUAGCUUACCUCCUUGCUUCCUGCUUUGUUUUUGCCAGGUUGAAUGGAGUAACACUUAGCUUUAUUUUCUGCUUCUUACUUCAGAUUACAUGUUUAUGGAUCUGUAGGAGUUGACAAGUAGUGCUGGAGAGGAUGUUGUACUUGCAAUGAACACCUUCAUAAAGCGACUUUUAGCUGUUGCAGAUCCAGAACAAAUGAAGGUUUGCCUUUGCACUGAACUCAAUUGGCUAUUUUCCCGCUUUAAUGGAUUGUGACCAUAAGAAUUGUAUUCGCUCCAAUGUAAUUGAUAAAAUAUCUAAAUUGAUUGUACAUGUUUAAUUCAGCCAGAGUAUUCAGUAUUGGAAUUUUCAAAGUGCUUUCCCUUAAUAUUUUCCUGAUUUAAAUUGUAAUAAACUUCUUAGCAUUUUGCUGACCAUUGCAAAAAUCUUGUUUAAGAACUUAGCUCCAUUAAACUCUUUUUUUGCCCUUUUCACCCUUCCUUUUUUGUCCUCAUUUGAAAAUUCUGCUAUGCCUGGAUGUGUCAUGGGGAGGUUUUAUGCAUUGGAUCUUUCAAUAAAAGGCUAGUGAAAAGUACUUGCUUCUCUGGUGUGGGUCUCAGGAAAUAUUAUAAUUUUUUUUUCCUGGAUCUUCUUCAUACUGAGAGUUCUUUUAACAUACAAUUUUUGUUAGAAACAAAUUUGUGUUCCGGAUUUCUCAAACUUUGGUUUCUUCUCACAGACAAGUGUAACUGAGACUAGUGCGCUCGAACUUGCCAAACUGCUUUAUUGGCUGAUGGUGGUUGGAUACAGUAUCCGCAACAUUGAAGUCCGUUUUGAUAUGGAACGAGUACUUGGGACACCUCAGAAGCCUGCAGAAUUACCUCCGGGAGAAGAAAACAUUUGAUGUCUUGCAUUGAAGUACCAACAAUUGAUGUCAUGACAAGGGUGGAGUGCAAUAAUUUAGUGCUGGGUUUACCAUGUGACUAAGCUGGUGGAGUUUUGUGUUCUCGUGGAUGGAAGCAGCAAUUAGCAAAUGGCUUAUUGCAGGGAUGAACACCUGGAAGAGUACAUAUUUUUGGUUGCUGCUCUUUCUUAUGUAUUGCAAAACCUAUCAAAAAAUAGUUAGUGGAAAAGUUGAUUGUGAUCUCUGGAUAGGUCAAGAUUCUUGACAUGUUGUCUCAAAUUCGUCAGACAAUGAAAAGAUUUAACUUGAUGGAUAUGUUUCCUUUUGUUUUGAGAUGGAGGACAUAUUAGGUGAUUUGAUUUGAUUUGA